RNAcentral lists this ribosomal RNA (497 nucleotides) under uncultured bacterium. RNAcentral's name for it is "partial 16S ribosomal RNA". It matches the Rfam family "Bacterial small subunit ribosomal RNA", at positions 28 to 507 of the family's 1533-position model. The record is from RNAcentral.
GAUGAACGCUGGCGGCGUGCCUAAUACAUGCAAGUCGAGCGAACAGACGAGGAGCUUGCUCCUCUGACGUUAGCGGCGGACGGGUGAGUAACACGUGGAUAACCUACCUAUAAGACUGGGAUAACUUCGGGAAACCGGAGCUAAUACCGGAUAAUAUAUUGAACCGCAUGGUUCAAUAGUGAAAGACGGUUUUGCUAUCACUUAUAGAUGGAUCCGCGCCGCAUUAGCUAGUUGGUAAGGUAACGGCUUACCAAGGCAACGAUGCGUAGCCGACCUGAGAGGGUGAUCGGCCACACGGGAACUGAGACACGGUCCAGACUCCUACGGGAGGCAGCAGUAGGGAAUCUUCCGCAAUGGGCGAAAGCCUGACGGAGCAACGCCGCGUGAGUGAUGAAGGUCUUCGGAUCGUAAAACUCUGUUAUUAGGGAAGAACAAAUGUGUAAGUAACUAUGCACGUCUUGACGGUACCUAAUCAGAAAGCCACGGCUAACUACGUG